This 724-nucleotide long non-coding RNA is filed under the name Salvia miltiorrhiza (redroot sage). RNAcentral describes it as "long non-coding RNA (SMIL_LNC004812)". Lineage: Eukaryota; Viridiplantae; Streptophyta; Magnoliopsida; Lamiales; Lamiaceae. The record is from RNAcentral.
UGGAAAAUACCACAAAACCUUUUGUGCAAUCUUUCUUUUCUCACCAGUUGGGUCAUUUUCUGAAGUACGCCAUCUUACCACAUUACAUGUCACACAUGAUUUUCGCUCCUUGUUCACUCCCCAAUAUAACAUGNCCUAGUUCCUUCCCUCAUAGUUACUCCCAGCGCUGACGACUUUGGUGCUGCCAAUUUUGCUUUACGCAUAUUUUACUCCUCAUCACUAGGAAUUAAUAAAGAUAACAAGAAAUAUGAUUGUUUCAUACACAUCCACAGAGGAAGAUUAUAUGGUAUUAGAACAACUGGCCAUGUACAAUGUGUCACACUUAUAUUACUAAAUAGAUUAAAUCCAUCUGAAGAUAAUCCAAACCUCACAUUUCGUGGAUCCUUGGCGAACUCUGGAUAUUUGCUAUUAAAUAUUUGCCAAGCGGGAGAAUCAACCGGAUGUCUCAUAUACCCAUCAUUUGUAUGACUUUUAGCAUGCCAUAGCAUGUGGCAUGCAGUUUUUGAUGACAUGAACAAGCGUCGCAAUCUAGGUUUAAUUGAAAAAUACCACAAAACCUUCUGUGCAAUCUUUCUUUCUCACCAGUUGGAUCAUUAUCUGAAGUACGCCAUCUUGCCACAUUACAUGCAAUCAUUAGGACAAGCAUCUAUCUUCUCAUAACCAAGGCCCAAGUCUUUCAUUAAUUUUUCAGAUUCGUAAUAUGACUUUGGUAAGUCGGCCAUUG